Molecule: ribosomal RNA, 458 nt
Filed under: uncultured bacterium
Lineage: Bacteria
Description: partial 16S ribosomal RNA
Rfam family: Bacterial small subunit ribosomal RNA
Source: RNAcentral
CCUACGGGUGGCUGCAGUGAGGAAUAUUGGUCAAUGGGCGAGAGCCUGAACCAGCCAAGUCGCGUGAGGGAGUACUGCCCUAUGGGUUGUAAACCUCUUUUGUCGGGGAGCAAAAGCCGGACGUGUCCGGCUGUGAGAGUACCCGAAGAAAAAGCAUCGGCUAACUCAGUGCCAGCAGCCGCGGUAAUACGGAGGAUGCGAGCGUUAUCCGGAUUUAUUGGGUUAAAAGGGUGCGCAGGCGGAUUUUUAAGUCAGCGGUAAAAUCGUGGGGAUCAAACCCAUCCAGCCGUUGAAACUGGGGAUCUAGAGUGUGCGAGAGGUAUGCGGAAUGCGUGGUGUAGCGGUGAAAUGCAUAGAUAUUAGGAGGAACACCAGUGGCGAAGGCGGCUUACUGGACUGUAACUGACGUUGAGGCUCGAAAGCGUGGGGAGCAAACAGGAUUAGAUACCCCGGUAGUC